UACGAAGGGGGCUAGCGUUGCUCGGAAUCACUGGGCGUAAAGCGCACGUAGGCGGCUUCUUAAGUCAGGGGUGAAAUCCUGGAGCUCAACUCCAGAACUGCCUUUGAUACUGGGAAGCCUCGAGUCCGGGAGAGGUGAGUGGAACUGCGAGUGUAGAGGUGAAAUUCGUAGAUAUUCGCAAGAACACCAGUGGCGAAGGCGGCUCACUGGCCCGGAACUGACGCUGAGGUGCGAAAGCGUGGGGAGCAAACAGG
Molecule: ribosomal RNA, 254 nt
Filed under: uncultured bacterium
Lineage: Bacteria
Description: partial 16S ribosomal RNA
Rfam family: Bacterial small subunit ribosomal RNA
Source: RNAcentral